This 501-nucleotide ribosomal RNA is filed under the name uncultured bacterium. RNAcentral describes it as "partial 16S ribosomal RNA". It matches the Rfam family "Bacterial small subunit ribosomal RNA", at positions 28 to 523 of the family's 1533-position model. The record is from RNAcentral.
GAUGAACGCUAGCGGCAGGCUUAAUACAUGCAAGUCGAGGGGCAGCAUGGUGUAGCAAUACACUGAUGGCGACCGGCAAACGGGUGCGGAACACGUACAGAACCUUCCUUCGAGCGGGGAAUAGCCCAGAGAAAUUUGGAUUAAUACCCCAUAGUAUAUUGGAGUGGCAUCACUUUGAUAUUAAAGAUUUAUCACUCGAAGAUGGCUGUGCGUCUGAUUAGGUAGUUGGUGAGGUAAUGGCUCACCAAGCCAACGAUCAGUAACUGGUGUGAGAGCACGACCAGUCACACGGGCACUGAGACACGGGCCCGACUCCUACGGGAGGCAGCAGUAAGGAAUAUUGGUCAAUGACGCAAGUCUGAACCAGCCAUGCCGCGUGAAGGAUGAAGGUCCUCUGGAUUGUAAACUUCUUUUAUAUGGGAAGAAAUUCCCGCAUUCUUGCGGGAUUGACGGUACCAUAGGAAUAAGCACCGGCUAACUCCGUGCCAGCAGCCGCCGUAA